Molecule: long non-coding RNA, 479 nt
Organism: Eptesicus fuscus (big brown bat)
Lineage: Eukaryota; Metazoa; Chordata; Mammalia; Chiroptera; Vespertilionidae
Exons: 4
Source: RefSeq, a predicted model, not a curated record
GCUCCCUCCAAUGAAUCCUCCACUCCAGACCUUUCAGACAGGAAUACAGAGGUCUCCGUCUUGCAUAACGGAGUAAAAAUGUGAAACGCAGAGGUGCAUCCCUUGCAGGCCUGCGCCAUUUUACAGCAAAGAAUGAGUGAUCUGCAUCUUCGCCAGCACUUGAUGGUGCCAUUAUUUUUCACAUCGAGAAGAGAGCAGUACUCGUCCAGCGUCAGCACUGGCUUGAGUUCUUUGACAUAAACAAACUGGAUAUCCAUUCUGAUAGCUUUUUCUUACCUUCGUCCAGUGAUGAUGGACAUCCAUUGUUCCCAGCAUCACGUGGCCCACUGCACUGAUCCCGGAACGGUCUGUAAAUAUUACUGUACAUCCUGAUGACAAAACAAACCCUCUGGUCACUGUACAGAGAUGCUUCAUCCUUUCAGCACUGUGCAAAUAAUUACUUACAUUUAGUGUAUAAAUUCAGGAUUAAAUGCAGAAGU